This 2183-nucleotide long non-coding RNA is filed under the name Anser brachyrhynchus (Pink-footed goose). Its description in RNAcentral is "lncRNA (ENSABRG00000001960.1)". Lineage: Eukaryota; Metazoa; Chordata; Aves; Anseriformes; Anatidae. The record is from RNAcentral.
AUGUUGCACUAUACAGCUUCACAGAGAGCAUCCUGCGUGCUCAAGGGGUUGCCUGGAUCUCAGCCCGUUAGGAGCAGUGUGAAUGUUGGAGCCAGCGCUUUGCACUUCUCUGGAAAGCAGCCUCUCCCACCUCCCUCGGAAGCAUCAAGCAGGAGGAAGCUCGAAAAGGACAGCUCAUUUCCCACUCGUCACUUUAAAAGGGAAAAAAGCAUAGAUAAUUGCAGAAGUUCAAAGAGAGGAUUGUGGAGUUUUCCAGCAGUGUGCCUUGAGGCUCCCAGGAAGGGGAACCAAGAGAAAACAAGCUGUUACGUAAAAGUUACGAGCAAACAUCUACCACUUCCUCUUCGAAUUCUUGUUGCCAUUUUUCCCAGCUGCUGCUUUCCUUUCCUCAUGACUGCUCCUGAUGGCAUACAUCCUCACCUUAACCAGCAGGCAAAUAUCAGAGAAGAAAUUCCCUACCUCAAGGUUCACUUCUAUACCAACAGUGUAUUUAUUGAUUUCUUCCGAGAUGAGACACAGAGAGGUCUGACACCACGGGAGAUGAGGUCUUGCAAGGCAAGAUGUGUGUGGAUGCCUGCUGAACAGCUCGCCCUGUUGUCUGAGACAUCAGAUGUUGAUCAGCACGUCAGAAGACCUCCAAGAGCAAGAGAGAGACAGCAGAGGUGGACAUUUAUGGCUUUGUUGCAGAAGUCUGUAAAGGGGAAGGUUCACUUGCAUGGGAUACAAGUGGACAGGUCUGUGACAAUAGGAUGAGGGUGAAGCACUGCCUUCCAGAUACCUUGUGAAGAUUUGAGUCUGAAUGUACUACUGUGGGAAACAUGAAAUAUUUUAUAAUCUCUGGCUAAUGAGAGGUUUUCAAUUCUUGCCCAUUUGUAUCUCCGCCAAGGGCAGCAGUGUUCCCUUUCGCCCCAGCAGCGAUCAGUACAAACAAGCCAUGGCAAUGAGGAAUCAAGACUGGCACCAGAGAGUCUCAGAAGCACCCCUUCCACAUAAACCUGUGCCUCCUGCAGGCAGAAAGCCUGAAUGUGGAAGAAGGUUGAUACACAAAGCCUCAGGAUGCCUUGCGAGCAACCAUGUGGCGGUGCUGAACUCACCAGCCCAGCAGCUGUGCAGAGGACAAAGAGAUGCAGAUAAAUCUGACGUGUUCUGGGCUUGUUGGACCUGCACGUGAGCCCAGACAGGCUGGGCUUGGGUAGUGGCCAGUCCAUGAUUUCACCACAUCGCACCCUCUGACUAAGUUACUAAGGACUGCAGUGGGUGCCACACAGCUCCUUGAGGGUCAGCGAGUGGGCUACUGAGGAUGAUGCUAAGUUAGCUGAGUCGGUCUUUUUAUUUGUUCCCUGGGAGAAAUAACAGAUUUCUCUGGGGACAGAACAGGAAAAGCCAACAUACAACGGGUAGAAAAAUCUCAAAUGCAAAAAAAAAUGUUGGACCUGUGGAAAAAGACUGCCAUCAGGCUGUCUGCAGGUGUAAGACCUGAUUUGAAUCCUGCUUCUGCGUUGUCACCAGUCAGCUGGAGGAACAAAGCAGCCACUGGCCUAUGCAGGGACCAGACUGUGAAAGGAUUUCAGGUGCCUUAGCAUGCAGGUAGGCAUCCAUCAAGGAUUUUAAAUGUCCCCAAGACUUAGAGACCAGUUUUGCCAAGCUGCAGAACACCUUUAGGAUCAGGGCCUUGAGCCAAAAGGCAGAUGUAGCACUACAGGAACCAGGGUGUAAAAGGUGAAUGUUUAAAAUGUGUUUGCUCUGAUCCCAGAAACAGCAAGGGAAGUGUCAAAUCAGAAAGGGCAGAAGAAUCCCAGGCAGCAAAGGAAUCUGCAGGGCAUCAGAGGGACGCGCUGCUGCCCCUGCCAGGAGCAAGCAGGCCGCAGAUUCCCGUUCUGCCCUACCAGUUACCUCAGAGUUACCACAUGCUUGUUAUAAACAUAGCUAAAUCAAAUGUGUAAUUUGGGAGAGCAGAACUUGGUCUACCGCGAGCAAGAAUUUCAGUUUGUUGCUUGAGACCUUUCUGGAUUUGUGAAUUACUUCCCAGAUUCACUUGUAGGUUUUUGCAGGCCAUCAAUGACAAUUCUGCACUAGGGUUAUUUAUCUCACUUCUUAACAGGUGGUCACAGGCAAGUUACAUCUAUAAGGCAUCCUGUGUGCCUUUUAAGGUAAUAAAUAAGAGUAGUGAUUUUUACUUUACA